Molecule: ribosomal RNA, 484 nt
Filed under: Nocardia farcinica
Lineage: Bacteria; Bacillati; Actinomycetota; Actinomycetes; Mycobacteriales; Nocardiaceae
Description: bacterial SSU rRNA
Rfam family: Bacterial small subunit ribosomal RNA
Source: RNAcentral
CUGAUGCAGCGACGCCGCGUGAGGGAUGACGGCCUUCGGGUUGUAAACCUCUUUCGACAGGGACGAAGCGCAAGUGACGGUACCUGUAGAAGAAGCACCGGCCAACUACGUGCCAGCAGCCGCGGUAAUACGUAGGGUGCGAGCGUUGUCCGGAAUUACUGGGCGUAAAGAGCUUGUAGGCGGUUUGUCGCGUCGUCCGUGAAAACUUGGGGCUCAACCCCAAGCUUGCGGGCGAUACGGGCAGACUUGAGUACUGCAGGGGAGACUGGAAUUCCUGGUGUAGCGGUGAAAUGCGCAGAUAUCAGGAGGAACACCGGUGGCGAAGGCGGGUCUCUGGGCAGUAACUGACGCUGAGAAGCGAAAGCGUGGGUAGCGAACAGGAUUAGAUACCCUGGUAGUCCACGCCGUAAACGGUGGGCGCUAGGUGUGGGUUUCCUUCCACGGGAUCCGUGCCGUAGCUAACGCAUUAAGCGCCCCGCCUGGG